This 263-nucleotide unclassified non-coding RNA is filed under the name uncultured fungus. Its description in RNAcentral is "partial contains small subunit ribosomal RNA, internal transcribed spacer 1, and 5.8S ribosomal RNA". The stretch from base 1 to 73 matches the Rfam family "Eukaryotic small subunit ribosomal RNA", at positions 1759 to 1831 of the family's 1831-position model. The record is from RNAcentral. Lineage: Eukaryota; Fungi.
UCAAACUUGGUCAUUUAGAGGAAGUAAAAGUCGUAACAAGGUCUCCGUAGGUGAACCUGCGGAGGGAUCAUUACAGGGCUCGUGCCCCCCGUGGGCCGACCUCCCACCCACUGCCAUCGCUACGACCGUUGCCUUGGCGGGCGCCCCGCGGCGCCCGCCAGCGGCCCCCCAACUCUGGAUGUCCGCGUCGUCCGAGCGUCAUGAUAAUCGUUAAAACUUUCAACAACGGAUCUCUUGGUUCUGGCAUCGAUGAAGAACGCAGC